AUCCAUCAAGAAUUCUUUAUUUUCUGAUGUUAUCCUCUAUUAGUAUCCAUAUGUUAUAUAAAUUGACUUAGCUACCUUUAAACCAAAUACCCUACAAACAUUACUUAAUUGAUUGCAUCCCUGAUCGAAAACCUGAAUGUGACAUGAUUUUCAUUUAAAAUGAUUCUGAUUUUGUGUGUUACAGUACGAGACCAGGUUCCUGAAAAUGCUGCGAAUCGAAAGGAAAUUCCAAAGAACAGUUACAUGAAUGUGGCUGCUGUAUUUGUGGUAGUAGGCUCUCUUGCCAUUGGACUGCUGCUUCUCAAGCUGUUUCAAGCCAGAAGACUCAGACAACAUGAAUCCUUGAUACCAGAGGACUCUGUUGUGCCAGAAGAGCCUGAGGAUACAGCAGUCCCAGCAGAGCACGACCCCAGCACCAGGACAGGACUGUUUCCGUAGCGACAGAUGUAUUAUCAGGGGCGCCAUGGGCUCUCUUCCCUGUAGGUGUCAUGUCUGCUCUGUCUCUCACGUCACAUCGCUAACUGAAUGUGAAUGCUUUGCCUGGAGGAGGGAGCAAUCUGGCACAACACUAUUCUGUUCCCCCUCUGCAGGAGAAAUGGAGUGCAUGCAUUGUCCUGCUACCAAGCUAAUUGUUAACAGCAUUGUCUGUAGUUGUUAAUCACACCAGACUAUUCUUUCAUAAUUGUUUUAUAUAUUGUAACUAAAACCUGAAAUGAGUCUAUCGAAUGCACAUAUUUAGUGGACAUUGAUUUGAUAGUUAAGACA
Long non-coding RNA from Salvelinus fontinalis (brook trout), 765 nucleotides. RefSeq lists it as uncharacterized. The record is from RefSeq and is a predicted model, not a curated record. Lineage: Eukaryota; Metazoa; Chordata; Actinopteri; Salmoniformes; Salmonidae. The transcript is spliced from 3 exons.